Molecule: transfer RNA, 86 nt
Filed under: Anaerolineaceae bacterium
Lineage: Bacteria; Bacillati; Chloroflexota; Anaerolineae; Anaerolineales; Anaerolineaceae
Also listed under: 2 other names
Description: tRNA-Ser
Rfam family: tRNA
About the family: Transfer RNA (tRNA) molecules are approximately 80 nucleotides in length. Their secondary structure includes four short double-helical elements and three loops (D, anti-codon, and T loops). Further hydrogen bonds mediate the characteristic L-shaped molecular structure. tRNAs have two regions of fundamental functional importance: the anti-codon, which is responsible for specific mRNA codon recognition, and the 3' end, to which the tRNAs corresponding amino acid is attached (by aminoacyl-tRNA synthetases). tRNAs cope with the degeneracy of the genetic code in two manners: having more than one tRNA (with a specific anti-codon) for a particular amino acid; and 'wobble' base-pairing, i.e. permitting non-standard base-pairing at the 3rd anti-codon position.
Source: RNAcentral
GGAGAGGUCGCAUAGUUGGCCUAGUGCGCUCGCUUGGAAAGCGAGUAUGGCGUGAGCCAUCGUGGGUUCGAAUCCCACCCUCUCCG